Molecule: ribosomal RNA, 227 nt
Filed under: uncultured bacterium
Lineage: Bacteria
Description: partial 16S ribosomal RNA
Rfam family: Bacterial small subunit ribosomal RNA
Source: RNAcentral
GAUCCUGGCUCAGGAUGAACGCUGGCGGCGUGCUUAACACAUGCAAGUCGAGCGAAGCACUUAAGUUUGAUUCUUCGGAUGAAGACUUUUGUGACUGAGCGGCGGACGGGUGAGUAACGCGUGGGUAACCUGCCUCAUACAGGGGGAUAACAGUUAGAAAUGGCUGCUAAUACCGCAUAAGACCACAGUACUGCAUGGUACAGUGGUAAAAACUCCGGUGGUAUAGA